UGGGGCAUGCUACCAUGCAGUCGAGCGGCUGACGGACUUCGGUCUGGUAUUCAGUGGCGGACGGGUGAGUAAUGUAUCGGAACGUGCCCGGUAGUGGGGGAUAACUUUUCGAAAGGGAAGCUAAUACCGCAUACGCCCUACGGGGGAAAGCGGGGGAUCUUCAGACCUUGCGCUAUUGGAUGGGCCUAUGUCGGAUUAGCUAGUUGGUGGGGUAACGGCUCACCAAGGCGACGAUCCGUAACUGGUUUGAGAGGACGACCACCCACACUGGAACUGAGACACGGUCCAGACUCCUACGGGAGGCAUAGUGGGGAAUUUUGGACGAUGGGCGAAACCCUGAUCCAGCCAUCCCGCGUGUGAGAAGAAGGCCUUCGAGUUGUCAAUCACUG
This 389-nucleotide ribosomal RNA is filed under the name Achromobacter aegrifaciens. Its description in RNAcentral is "bacterial SSU rRNA". It matches the Rfam family "Bacterial small subunit ribosomal RNA", at positions 42 to 435 of the family's 1533-position model. The record is from RNAcentral. Lineage: Bacteria; Pseudomonadati; Pseudomonadota; Betaproteobacteria; Burkholderiales; Alcaligenaceae.